GACGAACGCUGGCGGCGUGCUUAACACAUGCAAGUCGAACGGAAAGGCCCUGCUUUUGUGGGGUGCUCGAGUGGCGAACGGGUGAGUAACACGUGAGUAACCUGCCCUUGACUUUGGGAUAACUUCAGGAAACUGGGGCUAAUACCGGAUAGCAGCUCCUGCUGCAUUGUGGGGGUUGGAAAGUUUCGGCGGUUGGGGAUGGACUCGCGGCUUAUCAGCUUGUUGGUGGGGUAGUGGCUUACCAAGGCUUUGACGGGUAGCCGGCCUGAGAGGGUGACCGGCCACAUUGGGACUGAGAUACGGCCCAGACUCCUACGGGAGGCAGCAGUGGGGAAUAUUGCACAAUGGGCGGAAGCCUGAUGCAGCAACGCCGCGUGCGGGAUGACGGCCUUCGGGUUGUAAACCGCUUUCGCCUGUGACGAAGCGUGAGUGACGGUAAUGGGUAAAGAAGCACCGGCUAACUACGUG
Molecule: ribosomal RNA, 468 nt
Filed under: uncultured bacterium
Lineage: Bacteria
Description: partial 16S ribosomal RNA
Rfam family: Bacterial small subunit ribosomal RNA
Source: RNAcentral